Molecule: long non-coding RNA, 1640 nt
Organism: Bos taurus (domestic cattle)
Lineage: Eukaryota; Metazoa; Chordata; Mammalia; Artiodactyla; Bovidae
Source: Ensembl
GGCCAAGUUUGUGAGCCGAUCUCCCAAACCAGGAGACUUGCGGGCACACCCCAGCCCCUAGGAAGACAUGUAGGGCGGGGAGCUCAGUACCAUAUAUCAGCACGGGGGAGGAGGCUAAACUGGACUCGUGGGUCCGGAGCAUCUGACGUGGAACUGAAAAAUAAAGAAUGGGAUGCCAGGGCGGGAAGGUGAAGGGCAUAUAAUCCCAGCCUUGUUUUAAGCAGGAGUUCUCUGCCACUCAGGGCAUCUACGGUUACCCAGCGACCUACCCCAGCUGGGACCCAGGCUUGCUCACCUCCUCAGCCCAGCUCACUCUCGGUUUGGGGGGUCGUUUGGUCCUUCGGGACUCAAAGGGGGCUCUGUUCUUAGUGAUGCCUUUCCGUGACUUUGACGGAUGCCAUCAGCUGAAAGAGGGCUCGGGGGGGGCAAAAGCCACACAAGAAUGAUGCCACAGGCAGCCCCUGGGGACCCAGACCAGCCUUGGUGCCUGGCCAAGGGACCGCCGGCAGCAUCUUUCCGGGGGCUCCCCCUCUCUCCCUCAUCAGCUGGCCCAUCCCUCAGUUUCCUCAUCCAGAGAAGGGAUGCGUGAUCCCAGGAGGAGGCCUCCGAUGAUGUCAAGUGGGUGGAGGAAAUUACGAAACAAGGAGGAGCAGGCUGGAUGUGACGGCUGCAGACACCUGCUGGCUUUCAGGAGAUUCCUCUCUGCUCCACCACAGGUGAGGAUGGGGGACACAGAAAAAAGGCCCCUUGUCAUUUUCUUGCCAGGAGAGAAAGGAAGACAGCAGGCAGCCCAGCUCCGUGGCAGGGCAGCAAGCCUCACUGUGGGAAGGGGACCGCCUCGGGUCUCCCCAGUGUCUGGGGGGUCUGCUGCUAAUUGGAUUGUAAAAGAUGAUCCCUCUGCACAGCUGUCUGCAAGCCAGGCCCCAGUGACACAGGAGAUCUUCUUUCCUGCUGACUGGGAUGGAGAUGUAAGGGCCGGUGCUGAAGUGGCCACCGUGAGCAAGGUGGCUCUGGACAAAGAGGACCUAUGUGGACACUCAGAUAGAACAGAAGCUAGCCUCCAUUUCAAGCCUCGCUGUUUCCCCAUCACACGUUCUGGUUAUCGCCGGACAAGUUCCUCACUUGUAAGACCAGCAAAGACAGUUACUCAACCCAAGAUGCUUAAGGAAGCCCCCCAGGAUCAACGUGGUCACCCCAUCCUGCUGCCCUGAGGGUCGUCCAGUUCGGCAGACACUGGCCCAGUGCCUCCUGCUCCUGGCACUGGGAAUGCCAAGAGGCUUCAAGGUGACCACUGCCCUCGCAGCCAUCCUUGGUCAGAGGGUGUCCAGCCACGUCCGACAGCAGGCUCAGCCCGACGAUGGGCGUGGUGUGCAGGACGGUCCACGGGCCUCCACCCGGGAACUCCGUGGUAAAGAUGUGACUCAGGAAACAGGAGUGAGCGGCCACGCUCAGGCCACCUCCGAUGCCUUCUUCUCCGUGGAUCAUUGAAUUACAUGCAUAUUUCAGUGAAGAUGAUUAUCUCCUUGCUGGUUUCGGAAGAUGUAUUUAGGGGAGGUAUUUCAAUUCUGUUGUCAUUUAAAACUAAAAAUCAAAACAUCAUUUUUGAUGUCCAGGGUUCUUUCUUCCGCCGAAAUACACAC